GCUGGGCAUGGUGGCACACACCUGUAAUCCCUGCGACUGGGGAGGCUGAGGCAGGAGGAUUGUGAGUUCAAAGCCAGACUCAGCAACUUAGUGAGGCCUUAAGCAACUUGGUGAGACCCUGUCUCAA
This 127-nucleotide small RNA is filed under the name Marmota monax (woodchuck). Lineage: Eukaryota; Metazoa; Chordata; Mammalia; Rodentia; Sciuridae. The record is from RNAcentral.